UGAGGAAUAUUGGUCAAUGGGCGAGAGCCUGAACCAGCCAAGUCGCGUGAGGGAAGACGGUCCUAUGGAUUGUAAACCUCUUUUGUCAGGGAGCAAGGAGCGCCACGAGUGGCGCUUCGGAGAGUACCUGAAGAAAAAGCAUCGGCUAACUCCGUGCC
RNAcentral lists this ribosomal RNA (158 nucleotides) under uncultured bacterium. RNAcentral describes it as "partial 16S ribosomal RNA". It matches the Rfam family "Bacterial small subunit ribosomal RNA", at positions 355 to 509 of the family's 1533-position model. The record is from RNAcentral.